AUUGAACGCUGGCGGCAUGCCUUACACAUGCAAGUCGAACGGUAACAGGUCUUCGGAUGCUGACGAGUGGCGAACGGGUGAGUAAUACAUCGGAACGUGCCUAGUAGUGGGGGAUAACUACUCGCAAGAGUGGCUAAUACCGCAUGAGAUCUACGGAUGAAAGCAGGGGAUCGCAAGACCUUGUGCUACUAGAGCGGCCGAUGGCAGAUUAGGUAGUUGGUGGGAUAAAAGCUUACCAAGCCGACGAUCUGUAGCUGGUUUGAGAGGACGAUCAACCACACUGGGAAGGAUACACGGCCCAGGCUCCUACGGUGGGCAGCAGUGGUGAAUUUGUGACAAGGGGCGCAAGCCUGAUCCAGCAAUGCCGCGUGCAGGAUGAAGGCCUUCGAGUUGUAAACUGCUUUUGUACGGAACGAAAAGCCCUUGGUUAAUACCCUGGGGUCAUGACGGUACCGUAAGAAUAAGCACCGGCUAACUACGUGCCAGCCGCCGCGGUAA
Molecule: ribosomal RNA, 498 nt
Filed under: uncultured bacterium
Lineage: Bacteria
Description: partial 16S ribosomal RNA
Rfam family: Bacterial small subunit ribosomal RNA
Source: RNAcentral